GCUUCUAUAGCUCAACGGUAGAGCUCAAUACUGUUAAUAUUGUGAUAGAUGUUCGAUUCAUCUUAGAGGCG
Molecule: non-coding RNA, 71 nt
Organism: Microdochium nivale
Lineage: Eukaryota; Fungi; Ascomycota; Sordariomycetes; Xylariales; Microdochiaceae
Source: the annotation of a GenBank genome assembly